This 466-nucleotide long non-coding RNA is filed under the name Lathyrus oleraceus (garden pea). RNAcentral's name for it is "Pisum sativum (pea) long non-coding RNA (PSAT_LNC040245)". Lineage: Eukaryota; Viridiplantae; Streptophyta; Magnoliopsida; Fabales; Fabaceae. The record is from RNAcentral.
GUGUCAUUUGCAUUUGUUUUCUUCUUGAUACUUAGGUUUGGUUACUAUUAGUAGGGUUUGGUUUUGUUUUGGGGGAGUUCUAAGCUGAGAGGGGAGAAGAUGAGGCGAAGAGAACGUUUCAAAUUUUGUUGUGUUUCUAUAAAAAAAACGAAUCUUCAAAGGUCAAAGGUGUUUGUUGCCUUUCCAGAAGUCAUUUGAUCUUCCCAACAUUGUUGAUUCCCCAUGAAUAGCUUAACAGCUGGCCAUUAACAAGGGUGCUUUCCACCCUUCUGUUCGCCUCCUCAUGUGGGCCAGGCUAGAACAGGUUUCUAUAAACCUCACCCAACAGACUAUUUUUUGUUUUGGUUUUUAUUUUUUUAAUUUCAAUCUAUUCUGGUUUAAUAUUUUAGUUGUUAUUAAAAUGAUAACUAGCCAUGAGUGGUCUGAUGGAGAAGUGCAGUAUUCUAGUCUUGAGUGGGGUGGGUUC